AAUUUAAGGGCGUACGGUGGAUGCCUUGACUUUAAGAGGCGAUGAAGGACGUGGCGUUGCUGCGAUAAGCUUCGGGGAGGUGCUUAGCAACCUUUGAUCCGGAGAUUUCCGAAUGGGGAAACCCUGUUCCAUUUAAACGGAACAAUUUUUAUCUUUAUGAUAAAAGAGCGCACCCUGGGAAGUGAAACAUCUCAGUACCAGGAGGAAAAUAAACCAACGCGUGCGUAGCACGCGGUAUUUAAAUAUUUAAAUGUUUAAAUCUCGCGUGUUACGCACGCACAUUUCCCCAGUAGCGGCGAGCGAAAAGGAAGAAGCCCAAACUUCGACGCAAGUCGGAGGGUUGUAAGGUAGCAGUUUUUAUUUAAUUAGAGAGGAGUCAAAAAAUAAGUUAUUAGCUUAAAUUGCUGGAAAGCGACACCAUAGAGGGUGAUAGUCCCGUAAGCGAAAAUAAUUUAUCUCUUUUAUUGCUAUUCUUGAGUACCCCAGGACAUGAAUGGCCGGGGGGAAUCUAGCGGAACUAACCGCUAAGGCUAAAUACUCUUAAAGAUCGAUAGUGAACUAGUACCGUGAGGGAAAGGUGAAAAGCAGCCCGAUUAGGGCGGUGAA
This 606-nucleotide ribosomal RNA is filed under the name Candidatus Nomurabacteria bacterium RIFCSPHIGHO2_02_41_18. RNAcentral describes it as "bacterial LSU rRNA". It matches the Rfam family "Bacterial large subunit ribosomal RNA", at positions 1 to 542 of the family's 2925-position model. The record is from RNAcentral. Lineage: Bacteria; Candidatus Nomuraibacteriota.